RNAcentral lists this ribosomal RNA (253 nucleotides) under uncultured bacterium. RNAcentral describes it as "partial 16S ribosomal RNA". It matches the Rfam family "Bacterial small subunit ribosomal RNA", at positions 524 to 776 of the family's 1533-position model. The record is from RNAcentral.
UACGUAGGGCGCAAGCGUUAUCCGGAAUUAUUGGGCGUAAAGAGCUCGUAGGCGGUUUGUCGCGUCUGCCGUGAAAGUCCGGGGCUCAACUCCGGAUCUGCGGUGGGUACGGGCAGACUAGAGUGAUGUAGGGGAGACUGGAAUUCCUGGUGUAGCGGUGAAAUGCGCAGAUAUCAGGAGGAACACCGGUGGCGAAGGCGGGUCUCUGGGCAACAACUGACGCUGAGGAGCGAAAGCCAGGGGAGCGAACGGG